GGCUUGGUGGUCUAGUGGUUAUUGCUUUUGAUUCGUAUUCAGAUAGUCCUGGGUUCAAUUCCUGGCCCGUCCC
Molecule: non-coding RNA, 73 nt
Organism: Aedes albopictus (Asian tiger mosquito)
Lineage: Eukaryota; Metazoa; Arthropoda; Insecta; Diptera; Culicidae
Source: Rfam